Molecule: long non-coding RNA, 286 nt
Filed under: Homo sapiens (human)
Lineage: Eukaryota; Metazoa; Chordata; Mammalia; Primates; Hominidae
Description: LHRI_LNC1921.1
Source: RNAcentral
GAAGUAACAGUACCAGGGUGGAUGCUGUGGCUUAAGCCUGUAAUUGAGCACCUUGGGAGGCUUAGGCAGGCAGAUUUCUUGAGCCCAAUUAUUGGAGACCAACCUGGGAAACAUGGUGAAACCCAGUCUCUAGUAAAAAUACAACAAUUAGCCAGGUAUAGUGGUGUCCACCUGUAGUCCUAGCUACUUGGGAGGCCAAGGUGGGAAACAGAUUGAGGCUGGGAGCUAUAGAUUGCAGUUAGCCAAUCUCAAACCACUGCACUCCAGUUUAGGCUCCAGAGUGAGA